This 205-nucleotide ribosomal RNA is filed under the name uncultured bacterium. RNAcentral describes it as "partial 16S ribosomal RNA". It matches the Rfam family "Bacterial small subunit ribosomal RNA", at positions 568 to 774 of the family's 1533-position model. The record is from RNAcentral.
CAUGUAGGCGGAUUAAUAAGUUUGAAGUGAAAUCCUAUAGCUUAACUAUAGAACUGCUUUGAAAACUGUUAAUCUAGAAUGUGGGAGAGGUAGAUGGAAUCUCUGGUGUAGGGUAAAUCCGUAGAGAUCAGAAGGAAUACCGAUUGCGAAGGCGAUCUACUGGAACAUUAUUGACGCUGAGAUGCGAAAGCGUGGGGAGCAAACA